RNAcentral lists this long non-coding RNA (1045 nucleotides) under Gossypium barbadense (sea-island cotton). RNAcentral's name for it is "long non-coding RNA (GBAR_LNC020200)". Lineage: Eukaryota; Viridiplantae; Streptophyta; Magnoliopsida; Malvales; Malvaceae. The record is from RNAcentral.
AACAGCACCAUUUCGUCUUUGCUUUUAAAUUUUAAAAGAAACAAAAUUAAAACUAAAAGAAAGUUUCAGACUCUUUCUUUUUCUGUAGGAUUUUUUUAGGGUUCCCUCAACCCUUUGAGCACCGCCGCUCCCCUUUGCGCCAAGGCUCCGAUUGCGACGGAGAUGGCCAUGACUCGGCGGGUUCGGCGUAUGGGUAAGUCUUUCCUUCUUUUUCUUUAUAUUUUAAAUGAAAAAUAAAUAAGAAAAAUAAAAAAAUAAAAACACGAUUCACCUUCGAAAAAAAAUCUUUGAAAUCUCAGUAUUUCUCUUUAUUUUCGUCUGUUUUUACACUCCAAAAAACCCCCUAUUUACACAAUAUAAAUGGCCUUUUAUAGCCCGAAAUCGAAAAAUAAUCAAAUCUAAAUGCUAUUUUUUUUCUGUUUCUUCUCUCCGUGACUCUUUGAGUCCGUGUUUUUGCAGGUGUUCGUGGAGAGAAACGCGUGCGUGGAGGAGAGAUCAGCCCGAGACGUGCGGCGCUUGGACGCUUGCUGAAGGCGUUGGGGGCUGUUGCUGGUGGCUUGCUGCUUAGGGCUAGGUUUUUUUGCUUUUUGUUUUUUUUUUGCUGUAUUGGGCUUGUUUAAUGCUUUGGGCCCGUUUAUUGGUUUGGGCCCGGGCAUAUUUGGGUUUGUACAUAUCCGAUUCUGUAUGUGAGUAUAUGUCAAAUCUAUAACUGAAAACGUGUCCAUUAUUUAUGUAUAUCUGUUUGUGGGUCGGGUCACACGCAGGGGCUUCUAGCUCACUUGUUUGUUUAAUUCGUUUUAGGUGUACUUCCUACUUAGGACUUGGCGACAACUUCAAAGCCCGGUUCACACAAUUUGGUAUAAGUUGAUUUGUUUUUGUUUUUUUUUAAAUUUCGGACAUUAUGGUCUUUCGGAUUUUAAUUUGUUUUGGAACGUUAAAUUUUUAGUUUUGGUAUUUGUUUUCGUGGACGUUUUAUUUAAAACUUGUAAACGCACCCAAGACAACAUAACUAAUGGAUCUUAUGAUUUUAAGAGGUAAGAAUUUU